This 356-nucleotide ribosomal RNA is filed under the name uncultured bacterium. RNAcentral's name for it is "partial 16S ribosomal RNA". It matches the Rfam family "Bacterial small subunit ribosomal RNA", at positions 338 to 691 of the family's 1533-position model. The record is from RNAcentral.
CCUACGGGUGGCAGCAGUGAGGAAUAUUGGUCAAUGGUCGCGAGCCUGAACCAGCCAAGUAGCGUGAAGGAUGACUGCCCUACGGGUUGUAAACUUCUUUUAUAAAGGAAUAAAGUGAGGCACGCGUGCCUUUUUGUAUGUACUUUAUGAAUAAGGAUCGGCUAACUCCGUGCCAGCAGCCGCGGUAAUACGGAGGAUCCGAGCGUUAUCCGGAUUUAUUGGGUUUAAAGGGAGCGUAGAUGGGUUGUUAAGUCAGUGGUGAAAGUGUGCGGCUCAACCGUAAAAUUGCAAUGAAUACUGGCAGUCGUAGGUAGAGUUGAGGUAGGCGGAAUUCGGGGUGUAGCGGUGAAAUGCUU